RNAcentral lists this long non-coding RNA (715 nucleotides) under Salmo salar (Atlantic salmon). Its description in RNAcentral is "lncRNA (ENSSSAG00000081936.1)". Lineage: Eukaryota; Metazoa; Chordata; Actinopteri; Salmoniformes; Salmonidae. The record is from RNAcentral.
CACGAUUUGUCCUACCUAGUUUUAUUGCGUGGUUACCCUUUCUGAAAGCGUGAAUAAAGUUUUCGACAUCUCAUUUGUCUCUUGUAUUUUCUUCUGUCUUUGUUCAUGCCUUUUUAUUUAACCAACCUCAGAGGAACUGGUAAGAAAUGGAACACACGUGCAAAUUAGCGCAUGAAUCAGUGUGACAUCACAAUUCACUCACAAUGCACUCAUGAACCCAUAGAAUUGUAAUCAUACUGCAAAACUUGUCUCCUGAGCAGAAGUGAACUCACACAAUGUUGCCAUGGGGACAGUUGACAGCCAGUGGGGACAGUUUUUACAUCAUAAACACCAUAUGUGACGUCAAACACCUGUCUGCAUAAAUAGCCUGUUUUGGCACAUUUAAUUUCCCUAGGUGGCUGAAGGUACGUUGGUAACCAUGCACUUUCAGCCCAAUUUGGAAGAUGAUCUUCCUUUUGCCUUACAGCUAGAACAUGCUUCAGUAGGCUCUGACCAUCACAGAGAAGACCCUUCACCUCUCAACAGGGAAGACCCUUCACUGUCACCUCUCAACAGGGAAGACCCUUCACUCUCACCUCUCAACAGGGAAGACCCUUCACUGUCACCUCUCAUCUCAACGUCCACUUGUCUUACUCUCCGGAGGUAAGUGAUACUUCAUGUCUUAUCAGAUGAGAAGGUGGUCUCUUCAUCUGUCUGUCUCAGCUGCAGACCUGGG